GACUCUCUGCCCUUCAGGUGAGGUCAGAAUGUCCACUCGGAAUAGCAUAACCUUCGGAGCUAUCUUCAGGAACCCGGUGUGCCUGCCCGCCUUGGAGCGGGACGCCUGAUGGGUUUACAGCUGGCUCCACUUUAUUGGCACUCGAUGUGAGUCCAAUGACCCACGGUAGUGGUGGAGAGUCG
Molecule: non-coding RNA, 182 nt
Filed under: Deltaproteobacteria bacterium
Lineage: Bacteria; Pseudomonadati; Myxococcota; Myxococcia
Description: 6S RNA
Rfam family: 6S / SsrS RNA
About the family: E. coli 6S RNA was the first non coding RNA to be sequenced, but its function was unknown until recently. It consists of 184 nucleotides that fold into an extended hairpin structure with a large single-stranded internal bulge.
Source: RNAcentral